This 433-nucleotide ribosomal RNA is filed under the name uncultured bacterium. RNAcentral's name for it is "partial 16S ribosomal RNA". It matches the Rfam family "Bacterial small subunit ribosomal RNA", at positions 29 to 507 of the family's 1533-position model. The record is from RNAcentral.
AGCGAACGCUGGCGGCAGGCUUAACACAUGCAAGUCGAGCGGGCACUUCGGUGUCAGCGGCAGACGGGUGAGUAACACGUGGGAACGUACCCUUUGGUUCGGAAUAACGCUGGGAAACUAGCGCUAAUACCGGAUACGCCCUUUUGGGGAAAGGCUUGCUGCCGAAGGAUCGGCCCGCGUCUGAUUAGCUAGUUGGUGGGGUAAUGGCCUACCAAGGCGACGAUCGGUAGCUGGUCUGAGAGGAUGAUCAGCCACACUGGGACUGAGACACGGCCCAGACUCCUACGGGAGGCAGCAGUGGGGAAUAUUGGACAAUGGGCGCAAGCCUGAUCCAGCCAUGCCGCGUGAGUGAUGAAGGCCUUAGGGUUGUAAAGCUCUUUUGUCCGGGACGAUAAUGACGGUACCGGAAGAAUAAGCCCCGGCUAACUUCGUG